CGCCGCCGCCUACAUGGCGUGAGAAACCCUAGUUUCCGCCGCUGCAUACAUGGCUGCUCCGGCGUCGGUGCCGCUCGCUGCCUCCAUGCUUGACAAAUCUGGACUCAAUCUACUGUCUAUCUACAACAACUUUUCCCUUCCCGCAACGAAACAAUUUCACGCAGAGCCCUAGUGGUACCUCUUCUCUUCUGCAAGGUGCUGAAUCCUCCCGUCGACUUGAGACGAGCCCACCAGUCCCUAAUCACAGCGGGACUAAGGUUACUACCUCGGGCUGUUCAGCCCUUGCGGCUAAGUAUGCGUCUGUGUCUUACGCUGCUGCGACUGUGAAACCAAGGCAGCCAUCGAAAGCCGGAUGUUGUGGUUCAUCGUUGCUCCUCUUUGCAACCAGUUAUAUCAGACGCAUGUUCAAGAAUUCCAACACGCCCUCAUUGGGCGGCUCCUUAUCCGAAAGAGAGAUAAACCGAGACCUCUUCAGGACCUAAGGAACGA
RNAcentral lists this long non-coding RNA (489 nucleotides) under Salvia miltiorrhiza (redroot sage). RNAcentral's name for it is "long non-coding RNA (SMIL_LNC009351)". Lineage: Eukaryota; Viridiplantae; Streptophyta; Magnoliopsida; Lamiales; Lamiaceae. The record is from RNAcentral.